This 612-nucleotide small RNA is filed under the name Pan troglodytes (chimpanzee). RNAcentral's name for it is "retained intron". Lineage: Eukaryota; Metazoa; Chordata; Mammalia; Primates; Hominidae. The record is from RNAcentral.
GCUGAGGCCGAGGGAGUCGCCAUUUUGGAUGGUGAACCCUGAAGUCGGUGUCUGCUGUGUUCACGGCAGGAUUCGGUUAGGAGGAACAGCACAGCAUGCUGGGCUCUGGAUUUAAAGCUGAGCGCUUAAGAGUGAAUUUGAGAUUAGUCAUAAAUCGCCUUAAACUAUUGGAGAAAAAGAAAACGGAACUGGCCCAGAAAGCAAGGAAGGAGAUUGCUGACUAUCUGGCUGCUGGGAAAGAUGAACGAGCUCGGAUCCGUGUGGAGCACAUUAUCCGCGAAGACUACCUCGUGGAGGCCAUGGAGAUCCUGGAGCUGUACUGUGACCUGCUGCUGGCUCGGUUUGGCCUUAUCCAGUCUAUGAAGGAACUAGAUUCUGGUCUGGCUGAAUCUGUGUCUACAUUGAUCUGGGCUGCUCCUCGACUCCAGUCAGAAGUGGCUGAGUUGAAAAUAGUUGCUGAUCAGCUCUGUGCCAAGUAUAGCAAGGAAUAUGGCAAGCUAUGUAGGACCAACCAGAUUGGAACUGUGAAUGACAGGGUAAUGAACAUACUUGGUAAACAUGAAGGCAGUGUGUGGGAGCAGUUUAUUGUACUGCUUGUGGCAAUUCUAGUGG